Molecule: small nuclear RNA, 116 nt
Filed under: Sorex araneus (European shrew)
Lineage: Eukaryota; Metazoa; Chordata; Mammalia; Eulipotyphla; Soricidae
Description: U4 spliceosomal RNA (ENSSARG00000017577.1)
Rfam family: U4 spliceosomal RNA
About the family: U4 small nuclear RNA (U4 snRNA) is a component of the major U2-dependent spliceosome. The structure of U4 snRNA from yeast and human has been reported. U4 snRNA presents a k-turn RNA motif in the 5p-SL related to recognition of Snu13 protein.
Source: RNAcentral
AGCUUUGUGCAGUGGUGGUGUCGUAGCCAAUGAGGUUUAUUCUAGGCAUGAUUAUUGAUAAUUGAAAAUCACUGUAUCACUGUCAUCCUGUUCAUCAUCGAUUUGCUCAAGUGGGC